Molecule: long non-coding RNA, 212 nt
Filed under: Ananas comosus (pineapple)
Lineage: Eukaryota; Viridiplantae; Streptophyta; Magnoliopsida; Poales; Bromeliaceae
Description: long non-coding RNA (ACOM_LNC031708)
Source: RNAcentral
AACUAAUAUUUAGACUUUUUUUUUCUUUUUUGAGAGAUAGGUAGCAUGCUAUCUGCUUCGUUUUAUUUCAUUUAGAAAUAAACUUAGCUGGAAAUGUGAAUUAACUAGGAUUCGAACUUGGAUCUCGAGUACCAACCACCAAGUCCUUUGCCACUUGCUCUAGAGACGGUCGAUAAUAUUUAGACAUUUGACACUUGUUUGCUUUUACUAUA